RNAcentral lists this ribosomal RNA (924 nucleotides) under uncultured bacterium. RNAcentral describes it as "bacterial SSU rRNA". It matches the Rfam family "Bacterial small subunit ribosomal RNA", at positions 1 to 916 of the family's 1533-position model. The record is from RNAcentral.
UCGCCCUUAGAGUUUGAUCCUGGCUCAGGAUGAACGCUAGCUACAGGCUUAACACAUGCAAGUCGAGGGGCAGCAUGAACUUAGCUUGCUAAGUUUGAUGGCGACCGGCGCACGGGUGAGUAACACGUAUCCAACCUUCCGUUUACUCAGGGAUAGCCUUUCGAAAGAAAGAUUAAUACCUGAUAGUAUGGUGAGAUUGCAUGAUAACACCAUUAAAGAUUUAUUGGUAAACGAUGGGGAUGCGUUCCAUUAGGUAGUAGGCGGGGUAACGGCCCACCUAGCCAACGAUGGAUAGGGGUUCUGAGAGGAAGGUCCCCCACAUUGGAACUGAGACACGGUCCAAACUCCUACGGGAGGCAGCAGUGAGGAAUAUUGGUCAAUGGACGAGAGUCUGAACCAGCCAAGUAGCGUGAAGGAUGAAGGUCCUACGGAUUGUAAACUUCUUCUAUAAGGGAAUAAACCCUCCCACGUGUGGGAGCUUGUAUGUACCUUAUGAAUAAGCAUCGGCUAACUCCGUGCCAGCAGCCGCGGUAAUACGGAGGAUGCGAGCGUUAUCCGGAUUUAUUGGGUUUAAAGGGAGCGCAGACGGGUCGUUAAGUCAGCUGUGAAAGUUUGGGGCUCAACCUUAAAAUUGCAGUUGAUACUGGCGUCCUUGAGUGCGGUUGAGGUGUGCGGAAUUCGUGGUGUAGCGGUGAAAUGCUUAGAUAUCACGAAGAACUCCGAUUGCGAAGGCAGCACACUAAUCCGUAACUGACGUUCAUGCUCGAAAGUGUGGGUAUCAAACAGGAUUAGAUACCCUGGUAGUCCACACGGUAAACGAUGGAUACUCGCUGUUGGCGAUAUACUGUCAGCGGCUUAGCGAAAGCGUUAAGUAUCCCACCUGGGGAGUACGCCGGCAACGGUGAAACUCAAAGGAAUUGACGG